Molecule: ribosomal RNA, 455 nt
Filed under: Curtobacterium citreum
Lineage: Bacteria; Bacillati; Actinomycetota; Actinomycetes; Micrococcales; Microbacteriaceae
Description: bacterial SSU rRNA
Rfam family: Bacterial small subunit ribosomal RNA
Source: RNAcentral
UUGGAAACGACGUCUAAUACUGGAUAUGACUACUGGCCGCAUGGUCUGGUGGUGGAAAGAUUUUUUGGUUGGGGAUGGACUCGCGGCCUAUCAGCUUGUUGGUGAGGUAAUGGCUCACCAAGGCGACGACGGGUAGCCGGCCUGAGAGGGUGACCGGCCACACUGGGACUGAGACACGGCCCAGACUCCUACGGGAGGCAGCAGUGGGGAAUAUUGCACAAUGGGCGAAAGCCUGAUGCAGCAACGCCGCGUGAGGGAUGACGGCCUUCGGGUUGUAAACCUCUUUUAGUAGGGAAGAAGCGAAAGUGACGGUACCUGCAGAAAAAGCACCGGCUAACUACGUGCCAGCAGCCGCGGUAAUACGUAGGGUGCAAGCGUUGUCCGGAAUUAUUGGGCGUAAAGAGCUCGUAGGCGGUUUGUCGCGUCUGCUGUGAAAUCCCGAGGCUCAACCUCGG